RNAcentral lists this ribosomal RNA (827 nucleotides) under uncultured marine microorganism. Its description in RNAcentral is "bacterial SSU rRNA". It matches the Rfam family "Bacterial small subunit ribosomal RNA", at positions 8 to 831 of the family's 1533-position model. The record is from RNAcentral.
AGAGUUUGAUCCUGGCUCAGAUUGAACGCUGGCGGUAGGCUUAACACAUGCAAGUCGAGCGAGAAAGUAUCUUCGGAUAUGAGUAGAGCGGCGGACGGGUGAGUAACGCGUAGGAAUCUACCUAGUAGAAGGGGAUAGCCCGGGGAAACUCGGAUUAAUACCGUAUACCUCCUAAGGGAGAAAGAGGGCCUCUCUUGAAGCUCUCGCUACUAGAUGAGCCUGCGUAAGAUUAGCUUGUUGGUAAGGUAAUGGCUUACCAAGGCUACGAUCUUUAGCUGGUCUGAGAGGACGAUCAGCCACAUUGGGACUGAGACACGGCCCAGACUCCUACGGGAGGCAGCAGUGGGGAAUAUUGGACAAUGGGCGCAAGCCUGAUCCAGCCAUACCGCGUGUGUGAAGAAGGCCUUCGGGUUGUAAAGCACUUUAAGCAGGGAGAAAAAGCAAUAAGUUAAUACCUUAUUGCCGUGAUGUUACCUGCAGAAUAAGCACCGGCUAAUUCCGUGCCAGCAGCCGCGGUAAUACGGAAGGUGCAAGCGUUAAUCGGAAUUACUGGGCGUAAAGCGCGCGUAGGUGGUCUGUUAAGUUGGAUGUGAAAGCCCUGGGCUCAACCUAGGAACUGCAUCCAAAACUAACUCACUAGAGUACGAUAGAGGGAGGUAGAAUUCAUAGUGUAGCGGUGGAAUGCGUAGAUAUUAUGAAGAAUACCAGUGGCGAAGGCGGCCUCCUGGAUCUGUACUGACACUAAGGUGCGAAAGCGUGGGUAGCGAACAGGAUUAGAUACCCUGGUAGUCCACGCCGUAAACGAUGACNACUAGCUGUUGGGAGAC